This 331-nucleotide long non-coding RNA is filed under the name Lathyrus oleraceus (garden pea). RNAcentral's name for it is "Pisum sativum (pea) long non-coding RNA (PSAT_LNC026734)". Lineage: Eukaryota; Viridiplantae; Streptophyta; Magnoliopsida; Fabales; Fabaceae. The record is from RNAcentral.
GAAAAGAUUGAUUUUUUUCUUUUUUUUUCUUUUUUUUUUAGGUUUUAUGUGAUCACCAAUUUCAUGCAAAAAAGCAAAAAGGGAAAAUAAUUGGAAAAACAAACAUUUAACAUGAAUUUAUUGAAUGAAAAUAUCAUUGUAUUAAUGCGCCAACAAUGUCAUCACCUCUCCUUUUGGCAUGGGAGGAGUGUUUUCUAAACACAAUGAACAUUACUUUGACUUAUGGAUUACUGUUGGAAUAUCCACAGAGACCCAAUUAUUGCAGAUUCCCCCAGGGAUGACGAAGUUGCCAGAAUCCUCUUCGUCCUCUUCCAGAAUGACAGCAGCUUCC